CAUGUUUUUCGUUAAAAUCUAAGUGAUAUAAAUUUCAUUAGAACAAGUUAAAAUUAAUUUCCAAAUUUGCAAAUUCCUAAAUCCUAAAUUUGUAUCAGUUUCCAUUUUCUCAGCAAAGAACAUCACUUCAGCUACUUAUAAAUAAAUCAUAAAAAAGAACAAAUAAACACACAGUCGGUCUUUUCUGCUGACAUGCAGUCACACUUCUUUCCUGCCUGUUUUCGUUUAUUUUUCACCUUCUCUUUCUGCCCUCUCUGCUCCACACAGACGGCGAUACUUCUCAGUUCUCUGAAGUUUUUCGGUGUAAAUUGAGGUUAUUCCCCUCCCUGCUGUGCUUUUAUAUUGAACAAAGUUGGGAAAAAGUUUCAGUUCAUGGGUGCUGCAGAAAAAAGAUUGGUAAAUAAUGACCACGCUUUCUGCUUGGUUCCCUCUUAUGGCCUGUUCCAACAAUUUAUGUUGUUUUCUGAUGGUCAAAGAUCGAGAGUUAAACUUUUGAAAAGUUUUCAUGUGUUUCACAAGAUUAUUUGGAAAGUGUGACAAAUGAAUUCUGAAGAUAAAAGAUGUUGGAAAAAAUAUCUAAUUAUGAUGAUGAUCUUGAUGAAAGUGGCAUAUAAAAAUAUCCUUUUGUAUAUUUUACCUUUAAUGCAUUUUUAUUAUGUUGUUUUUAUAUUUUAACUUUUUUUUUCUGUCACGUUGAGGGGGGGCUGAAGCCCACCCCUAGAUAAUUUAGAGUGUUUUGAUUUUUUUCAAUGAUUAUUUUUGUUUUAAAAUUAUUUAAUACGUUUUAAAAUAGUUGCAGGAAAUUCAAUAUAAAAAUGCAGAUAUAUUAGUUUAAAUAAAUAGUUUAAACCUGUCAAUACAUGAUGAUAAAUCACAUGGUCACAUUUACUUUACAGUAUUAAGGUAAACGCCAGAGCUUCAUUUUUCAGUCUGACAACAAGGAGAAAAUUAACACGAGGAUACAAAGAAAAUACAAGAACUGCAAAUAAUUUAAAAAAAAAGCAAUAUAAGGCAGAAAUGUUUUUAAAGUUGUCAAAGACACAUUUGCCAUAUUUGUCUCUAAAGAACAUGUUUUAUGAAAUUUUUGUUCAAAUAUCGAUUUGUUUUUUCUAGAAAUUUUUCUUUCUUUUUUGAAGAAUUAGACCUAUUAGGCCUCAAAGGUGACGAUUUUAAGGGUCUGUGUUUGCAAAAAAACAUAAACAAAAAUAGUUUAUCGUUGGCAUUUUAUUUUGAAAACUAACCGGAUGUUUGCGCAUUUGUUUCCGGUAUCAACAAAUAACUAAAUAAAUGAUUAAAAUAAAUACAUUUUUUCUUAAAAGACGAUUCAACAACAUGGAGACUAAAUAGAUGAAUAAAGACGGAACUUUGGAACUUUCGCCAAGAAUUAACUCCUACUUAAAGGGACUUCUGAUGGAUCGUGGCUUCUUCAAUCAUACGUACCUUCGUCACGUCUACCAACUGGACUUCAUCUUCUUGUAGAGUUGGACCAUUUUGUUCUUCGAUUGAUCCAUUGAAAAAGGUUUCCAUCUUCAGAUCCACAGGAGGAGCUGCAGCUGCCAAAAAUACUCAAAUAAUUCCCCUCACUUCUGCAUAAACAGUUAAAGGGCCGCUUCAUGAGGAGCAACAUGAAGAUCUCCACCUGUCUUGACUUGGCCCGUCCUCAACUCUCCUGGAAUCUUCACCGCCUGCCAUCUUUGUCUAAUCUUUUAUUUCCGGAUUUGUUUAUUUAUUUCUGCUGGCGGUGCGCUGCUGCAGCUCGACCCUGUCAGGAUGAGGUAGAGCGGAAAAAGCUGACAAAAGCAGCUCUGAAUGCGUCUGUGAAGUCGGAAUUUAAACAUCUACACUUCCCAGUUGUCAGGGAGGUUGGACAAAUAAAUAAAUAAAAACUUGGAUUAGGGCAGGUGGAAAACAAGAAGGUAAAGAGAACGGUAUAAUAAAACUGUAAAACUAGGUACUUUUGAUCUCAUUGCAAGCAGCAACUAUAUUUUAACUCUGAAGUCAAAGGCUCUUCUUCAGUUUUCUCACUGGAUCUUUUCUCCCCAAAGAAACUUUCCAAAUAUGUAUUUUUGUUUGGAUGACUUAGCCUUCAGUUUUGGUCUUUUAACAUAGCUAGCGUCAGAGCGAGCAGCCGUGUUUUGUCAUGUGGUGAACAAAAUCCGGUAGUUUUUCAAAAUAAAAGCGGAAAGCAUCAAAGUUAGCGUUUGCAUUUGUUUCCCUGACUGUGGCCCGGUACCAAGCAGCCUUUGGUCUGGUUGGGGGUUGAGGACUCCUGAUUUAAAGGGAACAGCCAGCACGUCAAAAAGUGACGCGAACUGUGUCCUAACCAUAUGUCCAUACAUGACAAGUUGGGAGUGAGAAUGUGUUUCAAAAACAGAAAAAUGGAGUAAGUCACUUUUAUACUAACGAAAUAUAAAAUAUAAAGCCACGUCCACAACAGUCUUGGACCAAUGGAAAAGUCUGUUAUCGUGUAUGAAGGCACGUCUAGGUGUUCAGUGUUCAAAAUUCUUGCAUUCACUGACUUCAUGUACAAAA
This is a long non-coding RNA of Oryzias melastigma (Indian medaka), 2532 nucleotides long. RefSeq lists it as uncharacterized. NCBI's taxonomy places the organism in Eukaryota, Metazoa, Chordata, Actinopteri, Beloniformes, Adrianichthyidae. The transcript is spliced from 6 exons. The record is from RefSeq and is a predicted model, not a curated record.